CAGUCGCCGCGGUAAUACGUAGGUGGCGAGCGUUGUCCGGAAUUAUUGGGCGUAAAGGGAGCGCAGGCGGGCGAGUAAGUCUUUCUUAAAAGUGCGGGGCCCAACCCCGUGAGGGGAGAGAAACUACUCAUCUUGUGUGCAGAAGAGGAAAGUGGAAUUCCAUGUGUAGCGGUGAAAUGCGCAGAGAUAUGGAGGAACACCAGUGGCGAAGGCGACUUUCUGGUCUGUAACUGACGCUGAUGUGCGAAAGCGUGGGGAUCAAACAGGAUUAGAUACCCCCGUAGUCCCUGUCUCUUAUACA
Molecule: ribosomal RNA, 301 nt
Filed under: uncultured bacterium
Lineage: Bacteria
Description: partial 16S ribosomal RNA
Rfam family: Bacterial small subunit ribosomal RNA
Source: RNAcentral